UCACUAACACAAGGGUGCAUACCGAUUCGACGAUCGGCUCCGUUAGGUAUAAUCUACCCUAUUGGAACUAUUUAGAAACCAAAUUUUAUAAUUUUUUGGCAUCAUUUACUAAGCGAUCAAUAGGUCCCAAAAAUGACUAUUUUAACGGCCGAUACGGCACGUUUUUAAGUUCAACGGUGUAGAAGUAUCCAAAUUACAUGAAAAUUUAAUAGAAAAUUCUACUUAACGUCAAUAGCAAGAUCAAUACUUCCGAUUUGAAAUUUGAGUCCUUUAUCAUUAUUUUUUAUGAAAUUUUUAUUUUCAGCCGUUCAUUUUUAGGCUACUCGUUCACUAGGCAAACGAAGUCAAAAAAUUAUGAAAUUUGGUUUCUAGAUAUUACAAGUACGGAGCCCCCGGUAUUUUUGAAAG
This 408-nucleotide long non-coding RNA is filed under the name Ananas comosus (pineapple). Its description in RNAcentral is "long non-coding RNA (ACOM_LNC002273)". The record is from RNAcentral. Lineage: Eukaryota; Viridiplantae; Streptophyta; Magnoliopsida; Poales; Bromeliaceae.